UGUCUCUGUUUUCCUUGUAGUUGUUGUCCAACCAUCUCCUGACCUUCAACCCUGCAUCGCCUCACCAACCCAAAGGCACUUUUUUCUAUUUUUCUGUCCAUCCACCUGACUGUCUGUCUGUCUGUCUUAAUAUUCAGUCUUAAUCACUAUCCUGUAUCGUGUCUGUCAUAAUGCCGGGAGGGUCUACGAAGAAGACGUGUCCCUUCUGCCAGGGGAUUUUAUAUUGUGCACAGAAGGUGUGCUCUCACUGCAACAAGGUGCAGCCAGUGAAGCAGCGCCUCAGAAAAAAGCUCGAGAAGUUUGAUGAGCGUCGGGAAAAAUGGGCGGUUGGUCGUAUAAAGCACAGAAACGUAGCGUGCAUCAAGGAUGAAGCCGUCAUCAUGCUUGAAAAAUUUCACGCUAUUGGUUACAAACCAAUACUUCUACUUGGAAAAACGAAGAAGGAGCAAACAAAGUGCGAAAUUCUCAGCCCUCGCUGCAAGCUUAGCGUCAUUUCCCAAGACUACCUUAAAAGAAUAGGCGUCUUUUUUGAGUUCCUUUGUGAAGGUUGGAGCCAGGAGUCAUUAGAAGGAACGAGUAACCAGGAGUAUGAGAGGGUCACAGUGGGUCAAGUGAACAAGGAGGAUGACGCAGACAUGGAGGAUGUGAGGAGCAGCAGGGAAGCGUGCAUAGAGGAGCUGACGACGCCUGCACAGGUGAAGGAGGAAGAACCCGAGGUGCGGCAGGUGGAGUUGGGGAGCACCGCGGGUCGACAGGUAGAUUUGGGGAGCACCGCUGGUCGACAGAUGGAGUUGGGGAGCACUGCGGGUCGACAGGUGGAGCAGACACACACGCUGAAGCGGCACGUGGAGCAGGCUAAUACAGCAGAGAAACAGGCAGUCUCUGAGGGUUCUCCUAAUGUUCGCCAAAAGAAAAAAAAUUCAGCUAACGUCACGGUAAAGAAGAGAUUGUACGACCAAGUGAUGUUAUCGAUGCGACUGCAAGAGGAAAAGAGCAUUUUGGUUUUGGAGAUGGUACAACAUUGCAUGUGGUUGCAGAAGCAGGCAGAGGAGAUAAAGAAGAAGGUGGCUGAGAACGACCAGGGAAAUGAAGGACUUUGUUGCCUCUUAAGAAGUCAACUUUCCGAGGUGUCGGACCAGUUACAGGUGGUUCUCCAACAGUACAGAACGGCUUUGAGUCCAGGGACGUCUGUGCUUCUACGGAAGGAGGGGGAGGAUCAAAGUGCCUUCAGCAGUUCAGAAAGCAGUGACGAUAAAGAAGAUGUCACAACUUAG
RNAcentral lists this long non-coding RNA (1274 nucleotides) under Gouania willdenowi (blunt-snouted clingfish). RNAcentral's name for it is "lncRNA (ENSGWIG00000018685.1)". Lineage: Eukaryota; Metazoa; Chordata; Actinopteri; Blenniiformes; Gobiesocidae. The record is from RNAcentral.